This 498-nucleotide ribosomal RNA is filed under the name uncultured bacterium. Its description in RNAcentral is "partial 16S ribosomal RNA". It matches the Rfam family "Bacterial small subunit ribosomal RNA", at positions 30 to 523 of the family's 1533-position model. The record is from RNAcentral.
AUUGAACGCUGGCGGCAUGCCUUACACAUGCAGGUCGAACGGUAACAGGUCUUCGGAUGCUGACGAGUGGCGAACGGGUGAGUAAUACAUCGGAACGUGCCUAGUAGUGGGGGAUAACUACUCGAAAGAGUGGCUAAUACCGCAUGAGAUCUACGGAUGAAAGCAGGGGAUCGCAAGACCUGGUGCUACUAGAGCGGCCGAUGGCAGAUUAGGUAGUUGGUGGGAUAAAAGCUUACCAAGCCGACGAUCUGUAGCUGGUCUGAGAGGACGAUCAGCCACACUGGGACUGAGAAACGGCCCAGACUCCUACGGGAGGCAGCAGUGGGGAAUUUUGGACAAUGGGCGCAAGCCUGAUCCAGCAAUGCCGCGUGCAGGAUGAAGGCCUUCGGGUUGUAAACUGCUUUUGUACGGAACGAAAAGCCCCGGGUUAAUACCCUGGGGUCAUGACGGUACCGUAAGAAUAAGCACCGGCUAACUACGUGCCAGCAGCCGCCGUAA